Molecule: ribosomal RNA, 433 nt
Filed under: uncultured bacterium
Lineage: Bacteria
Description: partial 16S ribosomal RNA
Rfam family: Bacterial small subunit ribosomal RNA
Source: RNAcentral
AACGAACGCUGGCGGCAUGCCUAACACAUGCAAGUCGAACGAGACCUUCGGGUCUAGUGGCGCACGGGUGCGUAACACGUGGGAAUCUGCCCUUUGCUUCGGAAUAACAGUUAGAAAUGACUGCUAAUACCGGAUGAUGUCGAAAGACCAAAGAUUUAUCGGCAAAGGAUGAGCCCGCGUAGGAUUAGGUAGUUGGUGGGGUAAAGGCCUACCAAGCCGUCGAUCCUUAGCUGGUCUGAGAGGAUGAUCAGCCACACUGGGACUGAGACACGGCCCAGACUCCUACGGGAGGCAGCAGUGGGGAAUAUUGGACGAGGGGCGAAGGCCUGAUCCAGCAAUGCCGCGUGAGUGAUGAAGGCCUUAGGGUUGUAAAGCUCUUUUACCAGGGAUGAUAAUGACAGUACCUGGAGAAUAAGCUCCGGCUAACUCCGUG